CCCAGCAGUCAUAUCACCCUGCAAUUCACAACUGGCAGUCCACUGAAGGUAAGCAGGUGUGAGCCUGGUCAGUACCUGGAUGGGAGACCUCCUGGGAAAAACUAAGGUUGCUGCUGGAA
RNAcentral lists this ribosomal RNA (119 nucleotides) under Lepisosteus oculatus (spotted gar). The record is from RNAcentral. Lineage: Eukaryota; Metazoa; Chordata; Actinopteri; Semionotiformes; Lepisosteidae.